GCAUUAAUGGGGUAGUGGUAACCUGGGUCGUUGCCAUUUGACAACUUGAACCUUUCGACCCGCCGGGGGUUCGAUUCCCUCUUAAUGCA
This 89-nucleotide transfer RNA is filed under the name Marasmius oreades (fairy-ring Marasmius). It matches the Rfam family "tRNA". From Rfam's summary of the family: Transfer RNA (tRNA) molecules are approximately 80 nucleotides in length. The record is from Rfam by way of RNAcentral. Lineage: Eukaryota; Fungi; Basidiomycota; Agaricomycetes; Agaricales; Marasmiaceae.